This 165-nucleotide small nuclear RNA is filed under the name Carlito syrichta (Philippine tarsier). RNAcentral describes it as "U1 spliceosomal RNA (ENSTSYG00000020199.2)". It matches the Rfam family "U1 spliceosomal RNA". From Rfam's summary of the family: U1 is a small nuclear RNA (snRNA) component of the spliceosome (involved in pre-mRNA splicing). Its 5' end forms complementary base pairs with the 5' splice junction, thus defining the 5' donor site of an intron. The record is from Rfam by way of RNAcentral. Lineage: Eukaryota; Metazoa; Chordata; Mammalia; Primates; Tarsiidae.
AUACUUACCUAGGCAGGGGAGAUAUUAUGACCAUGAAGGUGAUUUUCCCAGGGUGAGGCUUAUCCACUGCACUCCUAAUAUGCUGAUCCCUGAGAUUUACCCAAGUGUAGAUAACUUGACUGCAUAAUUUGUUGUAGUGGAGGACUGUGUUUGCACUCUCCCUGA